This 1686-nucleotide ribosomal RNA is filed under the name Meloidogyne arenaria. RNAcentral's name for it is "SSU rRNA". It matches the Rfam family "Eukaryotic small subunit ribosomal RNA". The record is from RNAcentral. Lineage: Eukaryota; Metazoa; Nematoda; Chromadorea; Rhabditida; Meloidogynidae.
AUGUAUAAGUUUAAUCGCUUUAUCKAGAAACCGCGAACGGCUCAUUACAAUGGCSAUUAUUUACUUGAUCUUGAUUGUCUAAAUGGAUAACUGUGGAAAAGCUAGAGCUAAUACAUGCACCAAAGCUUUGUCCUCUCGGAAAAGCGCAUUUAUUAGAACAAAACCACGCGGCUUCGGCUGCUUCUUGUUGACUCAGAAUAGCUUAGCUGACCGCAUGGCCUUGUGCCGGCGGCGUGUCUUUCAAGCGUCCACUUUAUCAACUUGACGGGAGCAUAAUCGACUCCCGUGGUGGUGACGGAUAACGGAGGAUCAGGGUUCGACUCCGGAGAAGGGGCCUGAGAAAUGGCCACUACGUCUAAGGAUGGCAGCAGGCGCGCAAAUUACCCACUCUCGGCUCGAGGAGGUAGUGACGAGAAAUAACGAGACUGUUCUCUUUGAGGCCGGUCAUCGGAAUGGGUACAAUUUAAACCCUUUAACGAGUAUCAAGCAGAGGGUAAGUCUGGUGCCAGCAGCCGCGGUAAUUCCAGCUCUGCAAAUACAUAGAAUUAUUGCUGCGGUUAGAAAGCUCAUAGUUGGAUUCGUAUCGAUACCUUGGAACCCUUCGGGUGUCUCUAGGUGUUAUCGAUUUAUCGUAAUGUUCGGUUUUGAGUCCUUAACAGGAUUCUUAACAGGCAUUGCAAGUUUACUUUGAACAAAUCAGAGUGCUUCAAACAGGCGUUUUCGCUUGAAUGAUCGUGCAUGGAAUAAUAGAAAAUGAUUUCGGUUCAGUUUUAUUGGUUUUACGGACUGAGAUAAUGGUUAACAGAGACAAACGGGGGCAUUUGUAUGGUCCCGUGAGAGGUGAAAUUCUUGGACCGUGGCCAGACAAACUACAGCGAAAGCAUUUGCCAAGAAUGUUUUUAUUAAUCAAGAACGAAAGUCAGAGGUUCGARGGCGAUCAGAUACCGCCCUAGUUCUGACCGUAAACGAUGCCAACUAGCGAUCCGCCGAUGGAAAUUAUAUUGCCUUGGUGGGGAGCUUCCCGGAAACGAAAGUCUUCCGGUUCCGGGGGAAGUAUGGUUGCAAAGCUGAAACUUAAAGGAAUUGACGGAAGGGCACCACCAGGAGUGGAGCCUGCGGCUUAAUUUGACUCAACACGGGGAAACUCACCCGGCCCGGACACUGUGAGGAUUGACAGAUUGAUAGCUUUUUCAUGAUUCAGUGGAUGGUGGUGCAUGGCCGUUCUUAGUUCGUGGAGUGAUUUGUCUGGUUUAUUCCGAUAACGAGCGAGACUCUAACCUACUAAAUAGUUGGUACAUACUCUUAGUGUAUACAGCUUCUUAGAGGGAUUUGCGGCGUUCAGCCGAAAGAAAUUGAGCAAUAACAGGUCUGUGGUGCCCUUAGAUGUCCGGGGCUGCACGCGCGCUACACUGGCAAAAUCAACGUGCUUGUCCUACCCUGAAAGGGGCGGGUAAACCAUUGAAAAUUUGCCGUGAUUGGGAUCGGAAAUUGCAAUUAUUCUCCGUGAACGAGGAAUUCCAAGUAAGUGCGAGUCAUCAGCUCGCGUUGAUUACGUCCCUGCCCUUUGUACACACCGCCCGUCGCUGCCCGGGACUGAGCCAUUUCGAGAAAUUUGGGGACCGUUGAUUUAAUUUUUCUAAAUUACUUUGAUGGAAACCAAUUUAAUCGCAGUGGCUUGAACCGGGC